Molecule: ribosomal RNA, 292 nt
Filed under: uncultured bacterium
Lineage: Bacteria
Description: partial 16S ribosomal RNA
Source: RNAcentral
GGACUACCAGGGUAUCUAAUCCCGUUCGCUCCCCUGGCUUUCGUGUUUGAGCGUCAGGAACGCGCCAGUGCACUGCCUUCGCCUUUGGUGUUCCCCAUGAUAUCAACGGAUUUCACCCCUCCACCAUGAGUUCCAUGCACCUCUCGCGCCCUCGAGCCUUCCCGUUUCUCUUGCGGACUGUAGGUUGAGCCCACGGAUUUUACAAAAGACUAAGAAGGCCGCCUAGACACCCUUUACGCCCAGUGAUUCCGGAUAAUGCUUGGGGCCUCUGUAUUACCGCGGCUGCUGGCAC